This 2251-nucleotide long non-coding RNA is filed under the name Daphnia pulicaria. RNAcentral describes it as "uncharacterized LOC124344407". Lineage: Eukaryota; Metazoa; Arthropoda; Branchiopoda; Diplostraca; Daphniidae. The record is from RNAcentral.
UGUGGGUCGCAAGUUCUCUCUUUCCACGGUUUGAAAUUGAAAAAUAUCUUCCGGUCGGUCUGGGCUGUCUUCAUCAGGUCCGGGCUGCAGCGGCGGCUGUUCUGAGCCGUUAUCUCGAUUCCAUCUGAUCAUUCAUCAUUUUCGUCAUCUUAUUCUUCAUUGUCCACAUCAGUCAUCAAAGGAAAAAGUGUUUCGAGAAUUGGAAUGACGAGUUCAUUGUCAAUUAUUGACUGAAAAUUAAAAUUCAGUUAUUACUGAGUAGCAAUAAGUAGCAAUAAGGUGCAAUAAGUCUACCUGCUUCCCGAGUCGUUACGUUGAAAAAUUUUGAUCGACAAAAAGGAGGACAAAAAAUUGUCUGAAACUUUUGCAAAACAGCAUUAGACAAGUGUGUUGACUUUAAACUCUUUAGAAAGACAAUAACAUGAAACUAACUGAAUUAUUUAUACAAAAAAGAACAUGGAACUCACUUUGAACUCUUGGGAAAACGCAGCAAGAAAGUGAUGGUCACCGUAGGUUCCGUUUUUUUCAAGUUCUUUAACUGUUUUCAAGUGAAAAAAAUAUUAAGAUUUUGCAAAUUUUGAUUUAAAAAAACACCAAAUACCGUAUUGGGUAAAGGUUGGAGUUCAACUCCAAUUGUUCCACGACGGAUUGUCUUAUGAAAAAAUGGUAGUACCUAACACCGUAAAGCUGGAGUGCCAGAGCGUAGAACAAACAAUUUCUAAAAGGAAAAACAACUUGUUAGUAUAUUAGAAAAAACCAAUCGUUAUUUUUAAUGGAGAUUUACCCAUCAGCCGGAACUUGUAUCAACUCCAAAUUAAUGGCUUGCAAAGACGUCGACAACUGCUAUUCGAAUUGUAGAAACUUUAUGCGGUGAUCUUCGGGACUGGACGAGGGGGAAAACUACCCGGAGACGGAAAAAUGGUCGUUGUCCAAUCCACAGACCACAGCCGGAUCGUCGGGAACGUAGACGAUAGGAGAGGUGGAUUCACUGGACCCUAGUAGAGUGGUGUCGUCCGGCUCUUCCACAGAGAUUACGCCAAGAAUGGAUUUUCCACAGCUUCGGCGACGACUUUGACUUCGACUACUACUGACUCAUCAAAUUCCGAAACAAAUUCAGUUGCACUCUCCGAGAGUUGGAGUUGACUCUCGUGUCCUCGAACUGUGUUAUCGCAUAGGGGCGGAGAACUAGUUUUGCAAUUUUCAACUCGAUUUGUGGAAGCGGCCUUCGGUAACUUUCAGUAACCCGCCCAGCAAUCGGGGAGGGUAUAGAAGAAUUUUUCGGCUCUUUGUUGCUCUCGAAUCGAGCAAACAUUUCCCUCUGUGGUUUCUGAAGAUUACGGGUUUCACGAAUGUUGGUAUAUUCGAGGUAUUAUGAGUCUAUAGCUCUGGUAUUUCCAAAAAUCAAAAUUUUUAGAAAAUUAAAAAAAUAAAUUAGGGAAGAGCAGCCGGAAUUAUUCCAGCUGCGAAUAGUUGUUUUGCAAAUUCAAAAAAGGCUAGAUUAAGUGCCUCUUGUUUUUUUGACGACUUCUGCUCUGCGUAAACUAUAUCUAAAAAAACUGAAAAAAUUCGAAAAAAAAGGUUUUACAUUUUUAAAAUGAUUUUACUUUUGCCAUUGCGGACAUAUCGCAGGUAGCAUAUGUAUCGCCCCGGUGCUCCAGUUGCAGUUUUUAAAAAAAUUCCGACGCCAAGGGCGUGUUCGACUUUAGUACGGGCGUUAUGGACAGUAAAGUUGCCCCAUGACGCAGCAUCUAGGCUGUCGAUGUAGGCCUGGAAAUUGUCACCUCUUUGACCAUCUAGGGUCAUUACACCCAUAGCAAUCAGGUGGUUGAGAAAGAUGGUCGCAUAUUCUCUUUUAUUUAGUAAUUUAAAAAAAACGAUGUCUUGAAGACUGGAACCCCUAAGAAAGAUAUUUCCUAGAGUAGCCUUUGGGAUGACGUGGUGGAAUAGUGUCUAUAGCAGGGUGGGUACCAAUUGCCUCAAAUAGAUUCACCUGAUUGGAUCCGCAAUACUCCAAAAAUCGCUCCCCGUCUUCUUUCUUCUCGAACUCCACGAAGAUAGUUGCGGUUCCCCUUCUCUUUCGACGAUUCGGCCUCGCGAUGAUGAAGUCCCUAAGAUUUCUAAAAUAAAAAAAAAAAUAAUAAAUAACGCUUGGUUUAACCCCAUCUGGAAUUUUCUCCAGGAGGUAUUUCUUUUGUCUCUCCUCCAACGUCAAGCGAACAUUCUUCGUGGUGGAGGUCAGUGGAAGUCAGAG